GGUUGGUCUGAGUGCAGUGGUGUUUACAACUAAUUGAUCACAACCAGUUACAGAUUCCUUUGUUCCUUCUCCACUCCCACUGAGUCACUUGACCAGCCUUAA
Molecule: Y RNA, 102 nt
Filed under: Microcebus murinus (gray mouse lemur)
Lineage: Eukaryota; Metazoa; Chordata; Mammalia; Primates; Cheirogaleidae
Description: Y RNA (ENSMICG00000042627.1)
Rfam family: Y RNA
About the family: Y RNAs are components of the Ro ribonucleoprotein particle (Ro RNP), in association with Ro60 and La proteins.
Source: Rfam by way of RNAcentral